Molecule: small nucleolar RNA, 151 nt
Filed under: Rosa chinensis
Lineage: Eukaryota; Viridiplantae; Streptophyta; Magnoliopsida; Rosales; Rosaceae
Description: sRNA RchiOBHm_Chr5g0022131
Rfam family: small nucleolar RNA snoR135
Source: Rfam by way of RNAcentral
AUAGCAUGGAUUAUGUGUAUGAACGUAUUACUAUAAGCAAUGAACAUUGAUCCCAAAGAAUUCUCUACAAUAUUGAUUUGGGGAAGAUGUGUGUAGUUAGUUGAUUUCAUUUAACCUAUCAAAAUUUUCAACAAUCAUUGAUCUCAUCCUU